Molecule: ribosomal RNA, 368 nt
Filed under: uncultured organism
Description: bacterial SSU rRNA
Rfam family: Bacterial small subunit ribosomal RNA
Source: RNAcentral
CGGAGGGUGCAAGCGUUAUCCGGAUUCACUGGGUUUAAAGGGUGCGUAGGUGGGUCUGUAAGUCCGUGGUGAAAUCUCCGAGCUUAACUUGGAAACUGCCAUGGAUACUAUAGGUCUUGAAUACUGUGGAGGUCAGCGGAAUAUGUCAUGUAGCGGUGAAAUGCUUAGAUAUGACAUAGAACACCAAUUGCGAAGGCAGCUGGCUACACAAAUAUUGACACUGAGGCACGAAAGCGUGGGGAUCAAACAGGAUUAGAUACCCUGGUAGUCCACGCCCUAAACUAUGGAUACUCGACAUACGCGAUACACAGUGUGUGUCUGAGCGAAAGCAUUAAGUAUCCCACCUGGGAAGUACGAUCGCAAGAUUG